This 497-nucleotide ribosomal RNA is filed under the name uncultured bacterium. RNAcentral's name for it is "partial 16S ribosomal RNA". It matches the Rfam family "Bacterial small subunit ribosomal RNA", at positions 28 to 507 of the family's 1533-position model. The record is from RNAcentral.
GAUGAACGCUGGCGGCGUGCCUAAUACAUGCAAGUCGAGCGAACGGACGAGAAGCUUGCUUCUCUGAUGUUAGCGGCGGACGGGUGAGUAACACGUGGAUAACCUACCUAUAAGACUGGGAUAACUUCGGGAAACCGGAGCUAAUACCGGAUAAUAUUUUGAACCGCAUGGUUCAAAAGUGAAAGACGGUCUUGCUGUCACUUAUAGAUGGAUCCGCGCUGCAUUAGCUAGUUGGUAAGGUAACGGCUUACCAAGGCAACGAUGUAUAGCCGACCUGAGAGGGUGAUCGGCCACACUGGAACUGAGACACGGUCCAGACUCCUACGGGAGGCAGCAGUAGGGAAUCGUCCGCGAUGGGCGAAAGCCUGACGGAGCAACGCCGCGUGAGUGAUGAAGGUCUUCGGAUCGUAAAACUCUGUUAUUAGGGAAGAACAUAUGUGUAAGUAACUGUGCACAUCUUGACGGUACCUAAUCAGAAAGCCACGGCUAACUACGUG